GUAUAAUGCACAGCGAUCAACAUAACGGGAGACGCUCGUGAUUAUCGCGGAAUGUAUUUUUCGGAAUUCGCGUUUUAGAUCGUUUAGAAAAUAAGUCGCUCCAUAAAUGUCACAUCACGGUUAUUUUUCUAUCGCCUUUAAUUUCAGAGGGGUGAAACUACUACGCUAUCCCGACUUUUUAUUUUCAAACGGCAACCAAUACCGGAAACUCCAUAAACAGACGGAGUAUUGGUUCAAAUACGUUUCGAUGAGGCGAUAUCUGAUUUCCGUCCACCCGUUGACGAGGUGUUCCACAUUUAAGUAUGGACAAGGGGACGCUAUUAAAACGCCGCGCGCCGUGCCGCUCUCCUCCCACCGAAAUUUAAAUGUGG
Molecule: non-coding RNA, 371 nt
Organism: Cinara cedri
Lineage: Eukaryota; Metazoa; Arthropoda; Insecta; Hemiptera; Aphididae
Source: the annotation of a GenBank genome assembly